UACGGAGGGUGCAAGCGUUAUCCGGAAUCACUGGGUUUAAAGGGUGCGUAGGCGGCUUGGUAAGUCAGGGGUGAAAGCUUCCCGCUCAACGGGAGAAUUGCCCUUGAUACUGUCAGGCUCGAAUCAGGUUGAGGCAGGCGGAAUGUGGCAUGUAGCGGUGAAAUGCUUAGAUAUGCCAUAGAACACCGAUUGCGUAGGCAGCUUGCCAAGCCUUGAUUGACGCUGA
Molecule: ribosomal RNA, 226 nt
Filed under: uncultured bacterium
Lineage: Bacteria
Description: partial 16S ribosomal RNA
Rfam family: Bacterial small subunit ribosomal RNA
Source: RNAcentral